GCUUUGCUAAAGUUUUACCUUCUACCAUUUUGUAAUGUCCUUGGAUUUUCCAACUGCCACAAUUUACCAACACAUGCCUGGUGUAGAAGAGGCCCCAGGAAACACGUGCUGAAUGCAUGCAUGACCGGCGGUUGUUCUGGAUGUGCUGCUGGAGAAGUAUGUGUCUAUGGUGGCUUGCUGUGGCCUGAACUCUACCUGCACCCAGCUCAGGUUGUUGCCAACAUGAGCAAAGAAAAUCAGUGGCAUUUUUGACCUUCCUCGGAGACAUCAGCAAUGUGUUUGGAAAACUAGGAAGAGUUCAGCAUUGUUGGAACAAAGGCUGUGUGGAGCGGAGUGGAAGAGAGAGCCUGGGAAAUGGUAGGCGGUGGUAGGAGAUGUCGCCAUGUGGAGGCGAGCACCCUUGUGGAGGCGAGCACAGGAACGGCAGAGCUCCUUGCAGCCCUACUUUGCACCCGGCUGAGCUCAGGGAUACGGGCUGUCAGUGCCAGAGCUUCUUGGACAAGGGUGAAACCACUUGGAGGCUAGGAAGUCUGUACAACUUCUAGUCUCAGCCAGCCCGGAUCAUGAGCA
Tupaia belangeri chinensis (Chinese tree shrew) is the source of this 570-nucleotide long non-coding RNA. RefSeq lists it as uncharacterized. The transcript has 5 exons. The record is from RefSeq and is a predicted model, not a curated record. Lineage: Eukaryota; Metazoa; Chordata; Mammalia; Scandentia; Tupaiidae.